RNAcentral lists this long non-coding RNA (987 nucleotides) under Ovis aries (sheep). RNAcentral describes it as "lncRNA (ENSOARG00000026402.1)". The record is from RNAcentral. Lineage: Eukaryota; Metazoa; Chordata; Mammalia; Artiodactyla; Bovidae.
UUUAUUUAAAUUCAUUGACCAUUGGUCAAUUGGCUGGUAAGUAGAAAGCAAUGAAUCUUUUAGGGAGAGUACAGGGUAGUGUAUGUGCUGGACCUUUGUGCUUUGUGAUAUCUUCAUAUUAACUCUACACAUACAAGACAAUUUGGUUAUUGUAUCACUCCAUUGUUCUGGAACGGAAUGCUGAAGAAAGGUCUGUUCAUUUCCUUGAAGAUAGCUUUUUUAUUCUCCGUAUUUCUUCAGCGUCUGCAACGCAGCUCCUUCCUGAGCUCCGGGUACUGAUGGCAGAUCUCAGCGGUAGGUGGAUCCUGCAAGCCCAGGAGCAGCCCAGAGGAAGGAGGAGCCCAGGCCUGGCCCGCCCCCGAGGCUGCGGCGCAGCACACCGAGCCCUCUGCUAGGACCUAGGUUGCAAUCACUACGCCUCUGACCCCAUGUGUCUUUGCACCAGCAGUACCAAAUUCAGGCCAAGGACGGGAAUAUCUGUUUGUGCAGCCCUGAUCACUUGCUUUUCCUUUCCUUAACUGCAUAGGUGGCUGGAAACUAGGUAUCACAUGUAAAGAGGUGAACCGUUCCCCAAACACAGGAAAGGAUCUAGAUGCUGGGGAGCUGAGCUAGAGUGAACCUUCAAGUUGAACUAUGCUUUUUCAUAAUAUUGCUGUGAGAAACAGUGAUGUAAGAGCUUAGCAAGUGCUUGGCACAUAGGAAGUGAGCCGAAUAUUUCUGUUUCAUGAGAAAGAAGUGGAGGGGAAGUCUCUACUUGAGGAAGACUGAACUCUACAAAUCCAACGUAUCUGGACACAUCCCGAGGCACGCAGGGGCGGGCUGCUGGAUCAGGUCUCCCAAUGGAAUAGCAGAAUAGGAGAAACACGCGUCACAGAAGGGAAGGCUCAACUAUACCACGAGGAGGCGGCACCUCAGCAAAUCCUUGAUUGCAGGAUUUGAACAACAAGGGUAGGACAGACCAGCAGUUUCUUUAUCAAAGAAAUCGGG